This 240-nucleotide unclassified non-coding RNA is filed under the name Scytalidium lignicola. RNAcentral's name for it is "partial contains 5.8S ribosomal RNA, internal transcribed spacer 2, and large subunit ribosomal RNA". The record is from RNAcentral. Lineage: Eukaryota; Fungi; Ascomycota; Leotiomycetes.
CGCACAUUGCGCCCUUUGGUAUUCCGAGGGGCAUGCCUGUUCGAGCGUCAUUUCAACCCUCAAGCUCUGCUUGGUAUUGGGCCUGGCUGCCAUGGCCGGCCUUAAAAUCAGUGGCGGUGCCGUCUUGGCUCCAAGCGUAGUACAUCUCUCGCUCUGGAGGCCGGGUGGUGUCUAGCCAGACAACCCCAAUUGUCUUCUAUGGUUGACCUCGGAUCAGGUAGGGAUACCCGCUGAACUUAA